GCCCAGCUAGUCCAGUCUGUAGAAUAUGAGCCUCUUAAUCUCAGGCUUGUGGGUUUGAGCCCCCUGUUGGGCA
This 73-nucleotide transfer RNA is filed under the name Pelodiscus sinensis (Chinese soft-shelled turtle). It matches the Rfam family "tRNA". Rfam says of the family: Transfer RNA (tRNA) molecules are approximately 80 nucleotides in length. Their secondary structure includes four short double-helical elements and three loops (D, anti-codon, and T loops). Lineage: Eukaryota; Metazoa; Chordata; Testudines; Trionychidae. The record is from Rfam by way of RNAcentral.